Molecule: ribosomal RNA, 158 nt
Filed under: Nephelaphyllum pulchrum
Lineage: Eukaryota; Viridiplantae; Streptophyta; Magnoliopsida; Asparagales; Orchidaceae
Description: 5.8S ribosomal RNA
Source: RNAcentral
UCGAGUCUUUGAACGCAAGUUGCGCCUGAGGCCAAUAGGCCAAGGGCACGUCUGCCUGGGCGUCAAGCGUUUUGUAGCUCUGUGCAGCUCCAUCUUGCCAACGGGCAUGUUGGACGAUGCUUGGAUGCGCAUAUUGGCUCGUCGUGGUCAUUAGUGCG